GCGUGGCUGGCUCAGUCGGUAGAGCAUGCAACUCUAAAUUUUGGGAUCAUGAGUUCAAGUCCCAUGUUGGGCG
This 73-nucleotide transfer RNA is filed under the name Ailuropoda melanoleuca (giant panda). It matches the Rfam family "tRNA". Rfam says of the family: Transfer RNA (tRNA) molecules are approximately 80 nucleotides in length. Lineage: Eukaryota; Metazoa; Chordata; Mammalia; Carnivora; Ursidae. The record is from Rfam by way of RNAcentral. RNAcentral also lists the same sequence under 1 other name.